This 74-nucleotide transfer RNA is filed under the name Phycisphaerae bacterium. RNAcentral describes it as "tRNA-Val". It matches the Rfam family "tRNA". From Rfam's summary of the family: Transfer RNA (tRNA) molecules are approximately 80 nucleotides in length. Their secondary structure includes four short double-helical elements and three loops (D, anti-codon, and T loops). The record is from RNAcentral. Lineage: Bacteria; Pseudomonadati; Planctomycetota; Phycisphaerae.
GGGCGAUUAGCUCAGUUGGCUAGAGCGCCUGGUCGACAUCCAGGAGGUCACAGGUUCAAGUCCUGUAUCGCCCA